UACGUAGGGGGCGAGCGUUGUCCGGAAUUAUUGGGCGUAAAGAGCUCGUAGGCGGCUUUGUCAGUCGGGUGUGAAACCUCCAGGCUCAACCUGGAGCCGCCACCCGAUACUGCAAUAGCUAGAGUCCGGUAGGGGAGCAUGGAACUCCUGGUGUAGCGGUGAAAUGCGCAGAUAUCAGGAAGAACACCAGUGGCGAAGGCGGUGCUCUGGGCCGGAACUGACGCUGAGGAGCGAAAGCGUGGGGAGCAAACAGG
Molecule: ribosomal RNA, 254 nt
Filed under: uncultured bacterium
Lineage: Bacteria
Description: partial 16S ribosomal RNA
Rfam family: Bacterial small subunit ribosomal RNA
Source: RNAcentral